AGAGUUUGAUCAUGGCUCAGGAUGAACGCUGGCGGCGUGCCUAACACAUGCAAGUCGAACGAAGCGAUUUGGAAGAAGUUUUCGGAUGGAAUCCAAAUUGACUGAGUGGCGGACGGGUGAGUAACGCGUGGGUAACCUGCCUCACACUGGGGGACAACAGCUGGAAACGGCUGCUAAUACCGCAUAAGCGCACAGCUUCGCAUGAAGCAGUGUGAAAAACUCCGGUGGUGUGAGAUGGACCCGCGUCUGAUUAGCCAGUUGGCGGGGUAACGGCCCACCAAAGCGACGAUCAGUAGCCGG
This 300-nucleotide ribosomal RNA is filed under the name uncultured bacterium. Its description in RNAcentral is "bacterial SSU rRNA". It matches the Rfam family "Bacterial small subunit ribosomal RNA", at positions 8 to 290 of the family's 1533-position model. The record is from RNAcentral.